GAUGAAGAACGCAGCGAAAUGCGAUAAGUAAUGUGAAUUGCAGAAUUCAGUGAAUCAUCGAAUCUUUGAACGCACCUUGCGCCCUUUGGCCACUCCGAAGGGCAUGCCUGUUUGAGUAUCAUGAACACCUCAACUCUCAUGGCUCGCCAUGAUGAGCUUGGAUUUGGGGGUCUUGCUGGCCUGUGGUCGGCUCCUCUCAAAUGGAUCAGCUUGCCAGUGUUUGGUGGCAUCACAGGUGUGAUAACUAUCUGCGCUUGUGGUUUUCCAUCAGAUAACCUUCAGUGAUGGAGGUUCGCUGGAGCUCAUAAACGUCUCCCCUAAGCGGGGACAGCCCUUUGAAUGUUUGAUCUCAAAUCAGGUAGGACUACCCGCUGAACUUAAGCAUAUCAAUAAGCGGAGGA
RNAcentral lists this unclassified non-coding RNA (401 nucleotides) under soil metagenome. RNAcentral's name for it is "partial contains 5.8S ribosomal RNA, internal transcribed spacer 2, and large subunit ribosomal RNA". The stretch from base 1 to 121 matches the Rfam family "5.8S ribosomal RNA", at positions 35 to 154 of the family's 154-position model. The record is from RNAcentral.